AGACAGAAGAAUCUCGACAAAACUAAUCAACGGCUGUGAUUCAACGGUGAAAUCUUUGGCGCUCGUCGGAGAUUGAUCUUCCUUAUCCGGCUCCGACGUUCCCUUUCUUGGCAAGCUCGCCGAGCUCUGCACAUCACUAGUAAUCUCCUCUCCACGACUCGCUCCGUCCUCCGACUCUAUCAACUCGGUCACACUCACCGGUUCAACUCUCUCCGAGUUCGUCGUCGGUUCCUUCUCCACACUUUCACAGCUUCCUCUACAAGAAUCCUCUCCGGCAAGCUUCGAUUCUCCGCCGCCGCUUCCGGCCAUUUCCUCCUCCCUCUCCGUGUUUUCCGAUCCGAUUUCUUUGGGAUCUGGAGAAAUGGUUUCGUUCAUUAGCUGAACCGGCGGGUUUGGGACUGGUUCACCGGAAUCGCUACGCUCUUUCUUCCUCUCUAGAUCUAAAUUCUCGGUUUCCGUGUCCGGUUUAAUGAAACUCAUCUCUCUCUCUUCUUCCAAUUGCUUCACCUUCGACUGCAACGUGGAGAUAGAUAAAUCGUACUGUUCAACUUCGCGACGGAGCUCAUCGACGCGGAGCUUCCUUAACUCCUCUAGCCAAG
Long non-coding RNA from Arabidopsis thaliana (thale cress), 599 nucleotides. RefSeq annotates it as other RNA. The transcript has a single exon. The record is from RefSeq. NCBI's taxonomy places the organism in Eukaryota, Viridiplantae, Streptophyta, Magnoliopsida, Brassicales, Brassicaceae.